GUGCCAGCAGCCGCGGUAAUACGUAGGUGGCAAGCGUUAUCCGGAAUUAUUGGGCGUAAAGCGCGCGUAGGCGGUUUUUUAAGUCUGAUGUGAAAGCCCACGGCUCAACCGUGGAGGGUCAUUGGAAACUGGAAAACUUGAGUGCAGAAGAGGAAAGUGGAACUCCAUGUGUAGCGGUGAAAUGCGCAGAGAUAUGGAGGAACACCAGUGGCGAAGGCGACUUUCUGGUCUGUAACUGACGCUGAUGUGCGAAAGCGUGGGGAUCAGACAGGAUUAGAU
Molecule: ribosomal RNA, 279 nt
Filed under: uncultured Staphylococcus sp.
Lineage: Bacteria; Bacillati; Bacillota; Bacilli; Caryophanales; Staphylococcaceae
Description: partial 16S ribosomal RNA
Rfam family: Bacterial small subunit ribosomal RNA
Source: RNAcentral